UAAUACGGAGGAUCCAAGCGUUAUCCGGAUUUAUUGGGUUUAAAGGGUGCGUAGGCGGCUUAUUAAGUCAGGGGUGAAAGACGGUGGCUCAACCAUCGCAGUGCCUUUGAUACUGAUGAGCUUGAAUACACUUGAGGUAGGCGGAAUGUGACAAGUAGCGGUGAAAUGCAUAGAUAUGUCACAGAACACCAAUUGCGAAGGCAGCUUACUAAGGUGCAAUUGACGCUGAGGCACGAAAGCGUGGGGAUCAAACAGGAUUAGAUACCCUGGUAGUCCACGCCCUAAACGAUGAAUACUCGAUGUUAGCGAUAUACAGUUAGCGUCUAAGCGAAAGCGUUAAGUAUUCCACCUGGGGAGUACGCCCGCAAGGGUG
Molecule: ribosomal RNA, 373 nt
Filed under: uncultured bacterium
Lineage: Bacteria
Description: bacterial SSU rRNA
Rfam family: Bacterial small subunit ribosomal RNA
Source: RNAcentral